This 265-nucleotide ribosomal RNA is filed under the name uncultured archaeon. RNAcentral describes it as "partial 16S ribosomal RNA". It matches the Rfam family "Archaeal small subunit ribosomal RNA", at positions 717 to 982 of the family's 1478-position model. The record is from RNAcentral.
ACACGACUACAUUAGAUACCCCGGUAGUCCCAGCCCUAAACGAUGCGCGUUAGGUGUAUCGGUGACCACGAGUCACCGAGGUGCCGAAGGGAAACCGUGAAACGUGCCGCCUGGGAAGUACGGUCGCAAGGCUGAAACUUAAAGGAAUUGGCGGGGGAGCACCACAACGGGUGGAGCUUGCGGUUUAAUUGGAUUCAACGCCGGAAAUCUUACCGGGACCGACAGCAACAUGAAGGCCAAGCUGAAGACUUUGCCGGAUUAGCUG